Onychomys torridus (southern grasshopper mouse) is the source of this 2206-nucleotide RNA transcript. RefSeq lists it as uncharacterized. The transcript has 5 exons. The record is from RefSeq and is a predicted model, not a curated record. Lineage: Eukaryota; Metazoa; Chordata; Mammalia; Rodentia; Cricetidae.
AGCAGGACUGGCGUAGGGAAACAUGGCUUUCCCUCUCCCGGCCUUCCGCCCGCAUCGCUCCCGCCCUGGGCAUGGCCCGGGGGACCCUCCCGACCCCGCCUGGCUCCUCUGACUCUUUCCACGGUUUUCGAUUUCCCUGGCCUGGGAGACUCUUCCAGCUGCUUUCCCUCCACCCUGAGAACAACCUGGAGUUUGCCAAGAGGAAACUCCUGCGAGGGGAUGGACACCCGCCCUGGCUGCUGCUGGCAAGAGGUGGCAACCAUUCGAGCCAGGAGUUGAUGGAGAGAGGAGGACACGUCCCUGGAGGGAAAGUAACACUCGGAGCUCCGUGCGGGGCCAGAGAGGUCUGCAACAGGCAGCUGCAAAAGGAGCCGGCAGCCGCGGUGCCCAGUGCCUACGAGUUACUAGGCGCAUCGUUGCGUCCCUCGCAGCGCCGGGGGCUUGCUCCGAGCACACUCGAGGGCCUGCGAGCAAUGUUUUUCAGCAGGACUUACCUUUCUCUUCGGCAUAAUGACUACGUGGGUGCAGCAAAAAGUAAAGCAACGGGCUGGGCCGCUUGGCACGCCGCUGGAUGCUGCCUAGCCGCUGCAGCUGCUCCCGCAAUGGGCUCGGCUAGCCCGGCCUCUCCGACCUGCACCUCCGCUUCCUCCCCCGGCGCUCCACUCGCUCGCAUCCCGGUCCUCCAAUGGCGAGCCCCGCCAGCCGGCCGCGAGGCCCCAUUGGCUGAGGGAACGUUCUAAAUUCCACGAGGGCACGCCCACCCCUGCUCACCCGGGCUUCCCGUGUCCAUGACUGGAAUAAAAGUUCUGCUCUCAGAGAUGCUGGAGGUUGAGAAGGGCAGGAGGAGCCUGUAGUGUGGGGAGGUGACCUUUCAGGCUACAUAAUCGAGUUAAGCAGAAAUUUCUACCACUGAUUGGAACAUUGGAGACACUGGAAUCCUUUGCGUGUGGUCUUCACCAGCAUCCUCAGUUCUAGAAUUCAGCACUGACUGCUACCGCGCGGCUCCCUUGUGCCACCACAAACCAACUCAGGACCGGCCCUGCUGGGUUUGCUCUCCUCAAACUAUCUGUUGCUGCCAAUGAUAAAGAGCUACCUCGGGGUUAUCUUUACCGUCCCUGGUCUUUCUCAAGCAAGUGUCCUCAUUCUCUAUCUUAACAGGAACUGCUCGUUCCAGUGGCUGACAACAGCCUUCAUACACCCUUCACUUAGACAAUGGCAACCCACUUCCUAAUCUCGUCUCUCGCCCUGGCUUACGUCUUCGCAACAGUCCUGUGGAGCAUGCGCUCUUCUUGCUAUCUCUUGAACAGUGACUUGCCCUCUCCCCAGAUCUGAGCUAUUACAGGGAGCUGAGAUUUCACCACAGGAAGAGGAAAGCCCCAAAUCUCCUGUAUAACUUCCUGCAACACAGGCCCCAGAUGAGUAAUGACAGCAAUCAUUUCUCCUUAGUUCUCACCACAACCUCGGGGAAGAAGUAGCUUUGUCUCCAUCUCUGGAUUUCUCUAGGAACCAAACUCAAGAGUCACCCAUAGGCCAGGUGUACGCCAAAGGCUUCUCUGUCAUCACACAGACCCUGGGAAAACAAAGAUCAUUCAGUUCUUCUGAAGUGCCAAGAGCUUCCAGAACUGGGGUUGAAUUGUAAGCCAACAAACACUUCUAGUGCUUGCCAAGAUGCUUUCCUGCUGAGAACUCACAGCAGCUGCUGUCCCAAGAAAGCUGCAACUGCCUGCCUGAUUGCUGUUGUCCUGAGAGGGACUUGCCUGAACUUCAACACAAAUACUUUACUUCCUGCCUGCCUCUUGGAGGAGGCUUGCUAUUACCCUAUUCUCAUCCAAAUUCCACUCAGCCAUACCUGGAAGCUUGCCCUUUUGCAGCUGCACCUGGGUAAUGCUCUUUCUGCAUUAUACCUGGAAACAUGCCCUUUUGCAGCUGCACCUGGAUAAUGCUCUUUCUGCAUUAUACCUGGAAGCAUGUCCUUUUGGAGCUGCUCCUGGAUGCAUCUGCAGCUUCACUUUGAAGCAUACCCUUUUGCAGCUGCACUUGGAUGCAUGUCCUUUCUGCAGCUGCACUUGGAUGCAUGUUCUUUCUGCAGCUGUACUUGGAUGCAUGCCCUUUCUGCACCUUCACUUUGAAGCAUGCCCUUUUGCAGCUGCAAUUGGAUACAGGCCUUUUCUGCAUUGUACCUGGAAGCAUGCCUUUUUGCACCUGC